This 407-nucleotide ribosomal RNA is filed under the name uncultured bacterium. Its description in RNAcentral is "partial 16S ribosomal RNA". It matches the Rfam family "Bacterial small subunit ribosomal RNA", at positions 28 to 526 of the family's 1533-position model. The record is from RNAcentral.
GACGAACGCUGGCGGCGUGCCUAAUACAUGCAAGUAGAACGCAGUUGCGCAGGGGUGAGUAACGCGUAGGUAACUGCCCCAUAGCGGGGGAUUACUAUUGGAAACGAUAGCUAAAACCGCCUACUGUGAGCUGGACCUGCGUUGUAUUAGCUUGUUGGUGAGGUAAAGGCUCACCAAGGCCACGAUAAAUAGCCGACCUGAGAGGGUGAACCGCCACACUGGGACUUAGACACGGCCCAGACUCCUACGGGGGGCAGCAGUAGGGAAUCUUCGGCAAUGGGGGGAAGGCUGGAUGAGGAACGCCGGGUGAGAGAAGAAGGUUUUCGGAGCGUAAAGCUCUGUUGGGAGAGAAGCGGUAACUACCCAGAAAGGGACGGCUAACUACGUGCCAGCAGCCGCGGUAAUUC